Scatophagus argus is the source of this 513-nucleotide long non-coding RNA. RefSeq lists it as uncharacterized. The transcript is spliced from 4 exons. The record is from RefSeq and is a predicted model, not a curated record. Lineage: Eukaryota; Metazoa; Chordata; Actinopteri; Scatophagidae.
AGGCUCUGGACUUUGUGCCAGGAGAGUUUGGACUCCAGCUGACGAUGAGCCAGGGCAAUAACCCUGAAGCCCUGCCUGGUGUAGGUCUCCAGAGUCUCUGUGAAACUCUGUGGGACUGAAGAGAAGAACAUGCAAGUCUGGCUUGUGAUUUUUAGAGACAUGUCAAAGUAAUGGAUGAAAUAUCAAGCCGAAGCUGACACAGAGAGAAAUGGCAGACCUGUGUGCUGUCUGCAGAGGCUGGUCACAACUUCUGGUGCUCCUUUCAAGAGACUGUUACUUCACCUGCAUAAGAGCAGUGGUACCUUGUUCAUGAUACUGAGGAUGAUGGUGUAGAUGAAUCCAAUCCCUGCCACCCCCACCAGACACAACAAGAACAGCCUUCACCGGUUCACCAGCAUAGAAGCGGGUCUGGAUCACCUGGGUACCACAAAACAGGGUGUGUCUCUUGUGCUCCUCCAUGUCGUAGCUCUUGGCUGCCUCCGCACCUGAACUGGGCAAACUGGUCUUGGUAAC